RNAcentral lists this ribosomal RNA (508 nucleotides) under uncultured bacterium. RNAcentral's name for it is "partial 16S ribosomal RNA". It matches the Rfam family "Bacterial small subunit ribosomal RNA", at positions 30 to 523 of the family's 1533-position model. The record is from RNAcentral.
AUUGAACGCUGGCGGCAUGCCUUACACAUGCAAGUCGAACGGCAGCGGGGGAGAAGCUUGCUUUUCCUGCCGGCGAGUGGCGAACGGGUGAGUAAUACGUCGGAACGUGCCCUGUAGUGGGGGAUAACUAGUCGAAAGAUUAGCUAAUACCGCAUACGACCUGAGGGUGAAAGUGGGGGACCGCAAGGCCUCAUGCUAUAGGAGCGGCCGAUGUCUGAUUAGCUAGUUGGUGGGGUAAAGGCCUACUAAGGCGACGAUCAGUAGCUGGUCUGAGAGGACGAUCAGCCACACUGGGACUGAGACACGGCCGAGACUCCUACGGGAGGCAGCAGUGGGGAAUUUUGGACAAUGGGCGAAAGCCUGAUCCAGCAAUGCCGCGUGUGUGAAGAAGGCCUUCGGGUUGUAAAGCACUUUUGUCCGGAAAGAAAUGGCUCUGGUUAAUACCUGGGGUCGAUGACGGUACCGGAAGAAUAAGGACCGGCUAACUACGUGCCAGCCGCCGCUGUAA